Molecule: ribosomal RNA, 263 nt
Filed under: uncultured Staphylococcus sp.
Lineage: Bacteria; Bacillati; Bacillota; Bacilli; Caryophanales; Staphylococcaceae
Description: partial 16S ribosomal RNA
Rfam family: Bacterial small subunit ribosomal RNA
Source: RNAcentral
CGGACGGGUGAGUAACACGUGGAUAACCUACCUAUAAGACUGGGAUAACUUCGGGAAACCGGAGCUAAUACCGGAUAAUAUAUUGAACCGCAUGGUUCAAUAGUGAAAGACGGUUUUGCUGUCACUUAUAGAUGGAUCCGCGCCGCAUUAGCUAGUUGGUAAGGUAACGGCUUGCCAAGGCAACGAUGCGUAGCCGACCUGAGAGGGUGAUCGGCCACACUGGAACUGAGACACGGUCCAGACUCCUACGGGAGGCAGCAGCC